Molecule: ribosomal RNA, 804 nt
Filed under: Salmonella enterica subsp. enterica serovar Stanleyville
Lineage: Bacteria; Pseudomonadati; Pseudomonadota; Gammaproteobacteria; Enterobacterales; Enterobacteriaceae
Description: partial 23S ribosomal RNA
Rfam family: Bacterial large subunit ribosomal RNA
Source: RNAcentral
AGACCCGAAACCCGGUGAUCUAGCCAUGGGCAGGUUGAAGGUUGGGUAACACUAACUGGAGGACCGAACCGACUAAUGUUGAAAAAUUAGCGGAUGACCUGUGGCUGGGGGUGAAAGGCCAAUCAAACCGGGAGAUAGCUGGUUCUCCCCGAAAGCUAUUUAGGUAGCGCCUCGUGAAUUCAUCUCCGGGGGUAGAGCACUGUUUCGGCUAGGGGGCCAUCCCGGCUUACCAACCCGAUGCAAACUGCGAAUACCGGAGAAUGUUAUCACGGGAGACACACGGCGGGUGCUAACGUCCGUCGUGAAGAGGGAAACAACCCAGACCGCCAGCUAAGGUCCCAAAGUCAUGGUUAAGUGGGAAACGAUGUGGGAAGGCCCAGACAGCCAGGAUGUUGGCUUAGAAGCAGCCAUCAUUUAAAGAAAGCGUAAUAGCUCACUGGUCGAGUCGGCCUGCGCGGAAGAUGUAACGGGGCUAAACCAUGCACCGAAGCUGCGGCAGCGACACUGUGUGUUGUUGGGUAGGGGAGCGUUCUGUAAGCCUGCGAAGGUGGCCUGUGAGGGUUGCUGGAGGUAUCAGAAGUGCGAAUGCUGACAUAAGUAACGAUAAAGCGGGUGAAAAGCCCGCUCGCCGGAAGACCAAGGGUUCCUGUCCAACGUUAAUCGGGGCAGGGUGAGUCGACCCCUAAGGCGAGGCCGAAAGGCGUAGUCGAUGGGAAACGGGUUAAUAUUCCCGUACUUGGUGUUACUGCGAAGGGGGGACGGAGAAGGCUAUGUUGGCCGGGCGACGGUUGUCCCGGUUUAAGC